This 472-nucleotide long non-coding RNA is filed under the name Helianthus annuus (common sunflower). Its description in RNAcentral is "hypothetical non coding rna". Lineage: Eukaryota; Viridiplantae; Streptophyta; Magnoliopsida; Asterales; Asteraceae. The record is from RNAcentral.
UCUACCAUUUUUAUUAACGAAAUCCUACCGGGUGACUUUCUUUGCUGUUUAGGAAGGUCGCCGCCGAUGAAUUUUCCACCCACUGGAUCAAAUGUAAACCUGUGUUCAGUAUUUUUGGUGAGAAUGUUUAUGUAAACCUGGUGUGCAUCUUCCUAAUGCAUGGACAAGCCUUCAAACAUGAGGGAAAUUACGAAAAUGUCGGGUUGACCAAACCACUUUUCAAAUUUGUCACUCUCAGGCGUCGGUGGAGAGGGCGCUCCCGAGUCUGAUGCGUCCGCAUAUGGGAUGUCGCCACAUGUCCAAAUGAAAGGAGUGGUCAGCGACUUGUGGCUUGGCUGACUCUUUAGAGUGGUUUGGCUGACUCUUCGGAGUGGUUCGGCUGACCUCUCCCAUUAACUGUCUUGCGAAAAUAAUCCAUCGUUAAAAACCGUUUUUUAACGAAAUUACCUUCUCUUGCGUAUUUAUAAGCUGA